UGGGGAAUAUUGCACAAUGGGGGAAACCCUGAUGCAGCGACGCCGCGUGAACGAAGAAGGUAUUCGUAUCGUAAAGUUCUGUCCUAUGGGAAGAUAAUGACAGUACCAUAGAAGAAAGCUCCGGCUAAAUACGUGCCAGCAGCCGCGGUAAUACGUAUGGAGCGAGCGUUGUCCGGAAUUAUUGGGCGUAAAGGGUACGCAGGCGGUUUAUUAAGUCGAAUGUUAAAGAUCGGGGCUCAACCCCGUAAAGCAUUGGAAACUGAUAAACUUGAGUAGUGGAGAGGAAAGUGGAAUUCCUAGUGUAGUGGUGAAAUACGUAGAUAUUAGGAGGAAUACCAGUAGCGAAGGCGACUUUCUGGACACAAACUGACGCUGAGGUACGAAAGCGUGGGGAGCAAACAGG
This 403-nucleotide ribosomal RNA is filed under the name bacterium. Its description in RNAcentral is "partial 16S ribosomal RNA". It matches the Rfam family "Bacterial small subunit ribosomal RNA", at positions 355 to 776 of the family's 1533-position model. The record is from RNAcentral.